GGGGAUGGACCAUGGUUCCAUGGUAGAGCAUCAGCUUAGCACGCAGAAGAUCCUAGGUUUCAUCUCCUGGCAUCUCCA
Molecule: transfer RNA, 78 nt
Filed under: Sphaerodactylus townsendi
Lineage: Eukaryota; Metazoa; Chordata; Lepidosauria; Squamata; Sphaerodactylidae
Description: tRNA-Ala
Source: RNAcentral